Molecule: long non-coding RNA, 1824 nt
Organism: Pteropus alecto (black flying fox)
Lineage: Eukaryota; Metazoa; Chordata; Mammalia; Chiroptera; Pteropodidae
Exons: 4
Source: RefSeq, a predicted model, not a curated record
GCAGGAGACACUAAGAUCGUCCGGGCCAAUCGGAAGGCGGCGAGGAGCUCCCAGCGGGGUACGGAGAGUAUAGAUCCCCCCUCCCUAAGAGAAGCUGAGACCCUCGUGGAUGCCCGAACCUGGCCGGAGUGGAGGGGGGAUCGGCCCAGUUAGUAUCCAGAAACGGAGAAGCAAGCCACGCUCUGAGCCUGGCGGGAGCCCCACGUCCAACAGACUACCUUGCAAAAGCACGGCCAGCCGGCGGGGCCGACUGGGUGCCUUUCACCCUAUUUCACCGGUAGCGAAACUGAGGUAGAGAGACAUUAAGUCGUGCUAGACCCCCUGGGAGAGGGGAUGAGAGUCUCGUCGGAGCCCGGAGGCUCCUAACCGCUCAGUUUUGGUGCCCAGGCAUUUUCAAGAAUUAGCUGAGAGCUGCAGUCGAAGCCCAGAGCCAAGGCCAGAGUGUAACAGGUGUUCGGCAAGUCGCAGCUGUCUGUUACCUCGGCGACCUGGUCUUCCCUCCACUUAGUCCCGGCUGCUCCAAGUGGGGCCAAAGCUCUGCCAAUCCGGGGCAGGAGACCCGGCUGUGGCUCUGCCUUACUUUGUGACUUGGACAAUUUUCUGCCCUUCCUUGGGCCUCAGCGUUGCCCUCUGUGCAACAGGGAGAACGGGAGAUCAUUUUGAGGUCCCGGAGGUCCCUGAGGUCCCCAGUUCCAGGGUCACUGCAGCAUGCCUCCUUUGUUUCUGCUCCAAGUCCACGGUCAAGCCGCAAACACCUAGACCCCCCAGGAAGGAGGAAGGCCACGCAGAUGUUUCAGGCAGCAGAGCACAGGGAUUGUAAGUGAACAAUUGGAUGAAUUAUCGCCAAGUGAGCACACUCAGGGAUGUGAGACAUUUUCCUUGAGGCCAGUGGGCCAUCACCAACCCUGCCUCUGUCCCGUCUGUGCCCUUGGCCCGCCAUGGGAACCCAUUGCAUUGGAAAAGCAUGUAUUUCUUGCACUUCAAAAGUCCCCUGGGUGCUUCAGCUCCUUGAGGGCAAGAUCUGUCAUGGGUGUCUGGCACCUACCAGCCCCAAAUCCUGGAUGGACAGCCUGAGGCACCCUUGGUCUGAGUGUCGGGUAUACCAGGGGUGGGGAGGCUCUCCUUUCCUUCUGGCUCCCCCCUGGGGUGAUCCAGGUUGGGCAUGGCAGGGAGGGGGGCCUUCAAGCUGGUCCUUGGAGGGUUGAGGUUCAGCUGGGGGAGUGUGUUCUCUGACGUAGGAAAGGGUCCUUGUAUGUGCACGCGUGCACGUGUGCAUGCAGCGGGGUAUGAUCUGCAGUCUCUAUAUCUUCUGUCUUUAAGGGAAAAGAAUGUCACUUGAGGGCCCUCUGGCCUGGGGCUCAGAAACCAGCUUCGCUAACCUCCUCCAGCGCCUGGGCUGUGCUGCGUGACCCACGGCCUCCAGCUGACCCUCUCUGGUCUACACAUCAAGUCUGGCAGAUGGACUACGCUUACAAGACGAACUCACCUAGGCCUCUCAACAUGCCGUCCCGUCCUGUGUCCUGUCACAGAGGAGGGAGCCCAGACAUGAAAGGAGUCCCCUCCUCCCCAGAAAGGGGGGCAGCCCGCAACACAGAGGCAGGGACACGGCGACCAACCUUCUCACGUCUUUAUUUGAAAGGCACAGCUAAGCCCACCCUCGAGACAGCGUAUUCACUUCUCUCUCGGAGUUCAAACGACUGAACACAACAAAAGCUGACAGUCUAAAAGGCUAUAUACAGACACAGGUGUGGGUGUUGCUUUUUUUCAAACAUUUUUCUGUCUUUUUUUUUAAUAUCCCCUUUCUUAAAAGACAAGCUAGUAUAC